This 615-nucleotide ribosomal RNA is filed under the name Salmonella enterica. RNAcentral describes it as "partial 23S ribosomal RNA". It matches the Rfam family "Bacterial large subunit ribosomal RNA", at positions 582 to 1199 of the family's 2925-position model. The record is from RNAcentral. Lineage: Bacteria; Pseudomonadati; Pseudomonadota; Gammaproteobacteria; Enterobacterales; Enterobacteriaceae. RNAcentral also lists the same sequence under 1 other name.
CCCUUUGGGUGUGACUGCGUACCUUUUGUAUAAUGGGUCAGCGACUUAUAUUCUGUAGCAAGGUUAACCGAAUAGGGGAGCCGGAGGGAAACCGAGUCUUAACCGGGCGUUAAGUUGCAGGGUAUAGACCCGAAACCCGGUGAUCUAGCCAUGGGCAGGUUGAAGGUUGGGUAACACUAACUGGAGGACCGAACCGACUAAUGUUGAAAAAUUAGCGGAUGACCUGUGGCUGGGGGUGAAAGGCCAAUCAAACCGGGAGAUAGCUGGUUCUCCCCGAAAGCUAUUUAGGUAGCGCCUCGUGAAUUCAUCUCCGGGGGUAGAGCACUGUUUCGGCUAGGGGGCCAUCCCGGCUUACCAACCCGAUGCAAACUGCGAAUACCGGAGAAUGUUAUCACGGGAGACACACGGCGGGUGCUAACGUCCGUCGUGAAGAGGGAAACAACCCAGACCGCCAGCUAAGGUCCCAAAGUCAUGGUUAAGUGGGAAACGAUGUGGGAAGGCCCAGACAGCCAGGAUGUUGGCUUAGAAGCAGCCAUCAUUUAAAGAAAGCGUAAUAGCUCACUGGUCGAGUCGGCCUGCGCGGAAGAUGUAACGGGGCUAAACCAUGCACCGAAG